GGAAUAUUGGACAAUGGGCGAAAGCCUGAUCCAGCAAUGCCGCGUGAGUGAUGAAGGCCUUAGGGUUGUAAAGCUCUUUUACCCGGGAUGAUAAUGACAGUACCUGGUAAAGAAACCCCGGCUAACUCCGUGCCAGCCGCCGCGGUAAUACGGAGGGGGUUAGCGUUGUUCGGAAUUACUGGGCGUAAAGCGUACGUAGGCGGAUCAGAAAGUUAGGGGCGAAAUCCCGAGGCUCAACCUCGGAACUGCCUCUAAAACUCCUGGUCUUGAGUUCGAGAGAGGUGAGUGGAAUUCCAAGUGUAGAGGUGAAAUUCGUAGAUAUUUGGAGGAACACCAGUGGCGAAGGCGGCUCACUGGCUCGAUACUGACGCUGAGGUACGAAAGUGUGGGGAGCAAACAGG
RNAcentral lists this ribosomal RNA (401 nucleotides) under uncultured bacterium. RNAcentral describes it as "bacterial SSU rRNA". It matches the Rfam family "Bacterial small subunit ribosomal RNA", at positions 358 to 776 of the family's 1533-position model. The record is from RNAcentral.